This 497-nucleotide ribosomal RNA is filed under the name uncultured bacterium. Its description in RNAcentral is "partial 16S ribosomal RNA". It matches the Rfam family "Bacterial small subunit ribosomal RNA", at positions 28 to 507 of the family's 1533-position model. The record is from RNAcentral.
GAUGAACGCUGGCGGCGUGCCUAAUACAUGCAAGUCGAGCGAACAGACGAGGAGCUUGCUCCUCUGACGUUAGCGGCGGACGGGUGAGUAACACGUGGAUAACCUACCUAUAAGACUGGGAUAACUUCGGGAAACCGGAGCUAAUACCGGAUAAUAUAUUGAACCGCAUGGUUCAAUAGUGAAAGACGGUUUUGCUGUCACUUAUAGAUGGAUCCGCGCCGCAUUAGCUAGUUGGUAAGGUAACGGCUUACCAAGGCAACGAUGCGUAGCCGACCUGAGAGGGGGAUAGGCCACACUGGAACUGAGACACGGUCCAGACUCCUACGGGAGGCAGCAGUAGGGAAUCUUCCGCAAUGGGCGAAAGCCUGACGGAGCAACGCCGCGUGAGUGAUGAAGGUCUUCGGAUCGUAAAACUCUGUUAUUAGGGAAGAACAAAUGUGUAAGUAACUGUGCACGUCUUGACGGUACCUAAUCAGAAAGCCACGGCUAACUACGUG